Danio rerio (zebrafish) is the source of this 551-nucleotide non-coding RNA. NCBI's taxonomy places the organism in Eukaryota, Metazoa, Chordata, Actinopteri, Cypriniformes, Danionidae. The record is from the annotation of a RefSeq genome assembly.
AUGAGGGCUGAAUGCUGUAAAUCUGAGUGGGAGGAGUUUAACACUGGCAUCAUGAGAUUCAAGAAGACUGUCAACAUUUCACAAGUGUGUUUAGAUCAUCUGAGUGUCUCCUGUUCAAACCUGCCAUCAUGUUGAUCUCUUUCAUUAUUAUACUCCUAUCAUCAGCUCAAGAUUCCAGUGCUACAGAAGCCAUCACACCAUACAGGGCUUAUGAAUUUGCUUUUAAGGAUGACAGAGUGAUCCUCUCCUGUAACUACACUGGUUCUGCUCGAGGUCUGCACUGGUAUCGACAGUAUCCAGGUUUACCACCCCAUUUCCUCAUACUGGAUUACUAUGGGGCAGUUACUCAUGCAAAACCUCCGAUUGCUGGAAUCUCCAUCAAACACAGAAAAGACGACAGCAGUGUGGAUCUGGAGAUCUCCUCUGCUGCAGUAUCAGACUCUGCUCUUUACUACUGCGCACUGGAGACCACAGUGACAGGAAAAGCAUCUACACUGUACAAAAACGAGCUUAAAUAUGACUGUGCAAGACAAACGCUUUAUAUACAGUAA